CUAAGUUUCAACAACGGAUCUCUUGGCUCUCGCAUCGAUGAAGAACGCAGCGAAAUGCGAUAAGUAAUGUGAAUUGCAGAAUUCAGUGAAUCAUCGAAUCUUUGAACGCACCUUGCGCUCCUUGGUAUUCCUUGGAGCAUGCCUGUUUGAGUAUCAUGAAAUUCUCAAAGUAAAUCUUUUGUUAAUUCAACU
RNAcentral lists this ribosomal RNA (192 nucleotides) under Rhizoctonia sp. AG-G. RNAcentral describes it as "5.8S ribosomal RNA". The stretch from base 3 to 156 matches the Rfam family "5.8S ribosomal RNA". From Rfam's summary of the family: 5.8S ribosomal RNA (5.8S rRNA) is a component of the large subunit of the eukaryotic ribosome. It is transcribed by RNA polymerase I as part of the 45S precursor that also contains 18S and 28S rRNA. Lineage: Eukaryota; Fungi; Basidiomycota; Agaricomycetes; Cantharellales; Ceratobasidiaceae. The record is from RNAcentral.